Apis cerana (Asiatic honeybee) is the source of this 860-nucleotide long non-coding RNA. RefSeq lists it as uncharacterized. Lineage: Eukaryota; Metazoa; Arthropoda; Insecta; Hymenoptera; Apidae. The record is from RefSeq and is a predicted model, not a curated record.
GUUAAGACGCGUACGUUUUCCUCGAGUGUGUGAUUUAUUUGCUGCGUAAUUUAAUUAAUUUCCAUAAUUAUACUUUGUUGUUCGUAUACGUUAUUGUUCGAUUUCGUGUUUUUUAUUAUAAUUGAUUUCGAAUUUUUGUCGGUAGUUGGAAUUAUUGUUUUUUUCGGUCACUUAUUUGCUCUUUAGAGUUGAAGAUGGUGUGGAAGACUUCCUGUGAUUCUUUUUUCGUUAAAAAAUAUUGAUGAUCGCGCGCAAUGCGAUCGAUAGAGUCAGUGUUCGUUUCGUAAUAGUAUUUUUAUAUUUUUUUGAGCACAAUUGCUCAUAAUUAAUAGUAUUUCGCGAAAUUAGAGUCAGUGUUUGUUCGUCGUUUAAAAGAAUGUAACGGACGCGUUAUCGGUCUUUUAUUUUUAUUGUUUUUCCUUCUUAAAUAUUCGUUUUCGGUAGAGGUUAGAGUCAGUGUUAUUCUCAAGAGAACAAGGCGAUCAUCCACCACGCGAAGAGAUUCUACUUUCUUCGAUGAUUUCCCACGGAUGAGCAAUCCAGAUUCUACGCAUCUAACGGUGAGUCGCAUGCUUUUUGUUUCCUCCAGUCACUCAAUCAUGUCGUUGGACGAAAGGUCAAAAAUCGACACGGGUGACUGGUUGUAUACGUAGAAGUUUGCACGAGCACAAUGACCAUGGGUGUUAUUUACACUCAUGAGUAGUAACAUUGGUUUUGUGUGUUUUAUUUAUUAGUUCAGGCUAGGUCUUCUUGUACAUCGCGUUUUAAAACGUGGAUAAUUUUUAAAAUUUAUUACUUUUCCUUGAUUAAAGAAUUGUUCAUCAAAUAUAUAAUAUAUAUAAAUAUAUAUAAAUAUAUAU